Molecule: long non-coding RNA, 1106 nt
Filed under: Nicotiana benthamiana
Lineage: Eukaryota; Viridiplantae; Streptophyta; Magnoliopsida; Solanales; Solanaceae
Description: long non-coding RNA (NBEN_LNC022358)
Source: RNAcentral
AUAUUACCAAUAUGAAACCAAUAAACUUUUAAAUCAACAAUUUAAAUAUUGCCGGUAUGAAACCAAUAAUCUUUUAAAUCAUAUAAUCACGUAAGAUUAUUAAAAUUUUAAUCCAUUUAAGAUUCACGGUCAUGCUCGACCCCCAACGUAUAGAUACUCAUCACCAUGCCUCUAUGUCAGACUCCACACAUAGCAAUUAGCAUAUAGACUCAAUUCCUAUUCCCUCAAGCUAGGAUAAAUCAAACACUUACCUCGAAGGUUUACCGCAAAUUCAAUCCUUAAGCGAUACCCUUUCUUUUUGAAUUUGGCUCCAAUUCAAUUGUAUCUAUAUACAAUUGAUUUAGUAUCAUCAAUACUACUUAACAAAAUAAUCCAAAUGGCUAAAUAUAUAUUUGAUAACAUUCUGCCCGAAAUAGUGAAAAUUCACCCCGGACCCGCGUGGUCAAAACAUGAGGUUCUAACCAAUUUCCGACAACCCAUUCAUCCACGAGUUCAAAUAUACAAUUUGUUCUUAAGUUAGACCCCAAAACAAGGUCUAAAUCUCAAAUUAUUUGAAAACCCAAAAACUGAAAAACGACACUGAAACUCGAUCGAACCUCGCUGGUCUCGUACAACAGAAACGGGAAGAAAACAAAGAAGAUGAACAGCAGGUGGUGGUCUGCUGGUUCCGUCGGAGUGCUGUAGCGGCUGACUGGAGGUUCAGGUGGUUGUGUGGACGAAGAGGAUGAUGCAACAACAGCUGGUCGUGAAGCUACAGCAGCUGUAGGGUGCUGACUGGCGUUACUGGAAUGAACGGAGAAUUAAAGGAAUGCUGGGGUGUUUUCUCAACUUGCAUCGAAAGUUCAGUGUGACAAACAUGGUAUUUUUUCUCUAGAGACAAUUUGAUUAAGAUCAGGAGGACAGUGAGAAUGUUGUCUGUGGGGUCAAUUUUUGAGCGAAAACCGCGUAGCCUCUAAUCAUUUGUCCAAGUGAUCAUUUUAUGCAUUAGACAAAUGUUAUAAUAUCUAUCUACCCGCAUUUUGUGGCACCAUCUUAAUGUUUGGUUGUCUUCCACUUGUGUAUAUUAAGGUAAAGACUUAUUGUAUUAUCUGGGAAUUGUGAAUACC